Molecule: unclassified non-coding RNA, 310 nt
Filed under: plant metagenome
Description: partial contains 5.8S ribosomal RNA, internal transcribed spacer 2, and large subunit ribosomal RNA
Rfam family: 5.8S ribosomal RNA (bases 1-105)
Source: RNAcentral
GAAAUGCGAUAAGUAGUGUGAAUUGCAGAAUUCAGUGAAUCAUCGAAUCUUUGAACGCACAUUGCGCCCGCCAGUAUUCUGGCGGGCAUGCCUGUUCGAGCGUCAUUUCAACCAUCAAGCCCCCGGGCUUGUGUUGGGGACCUGCGGCUGCCGCAGGCCCCGAAAACCAGUGGCGGGCUCGCUGUCACACCGGGCGUAGUAGAUUUUUCGUCUCGCCCAGGGCGUGCUGCGGGUUCCGGCCGUUAAAAAGCCUCUCUUUUUAACCCAAGGUUGACCUCGGAUCAGGUAGGAAGACCCGCUGAACUUAAGC